AGACUCUAUGGGGAUAAUAAAAGAAAAAGAAAUGUGUGGACAAGACACGACUCUAAACUGGGGAAAAACAAAACUGACAUAACGUGAACAAGACACGACUCUGAUUAGAAAAACAGAGGACAGACUGGAGAACUCACUGGGGAGUGAAGAACUCACACUGGGGAACAGAUUUCCAAAGGAAAAUAAAUCCAUUGGAGAGACACAAGCUGACUCCUAAGGAGAAGCAAAAGAAAACUCC
Molecule: long non-coding RNA, 238 nt
Filed under: Lathyrus oleraceus (garden pea)
Lineage: Eukaryota; Viridiplantae; Streptophyta; Magnoliopsida; Fabales; Fabaceae
Description: Pisum sativum (pea) long non-coding RNA (PSAT_LNC041026)
Source: RNAcentral